Molecule: transfer RNA, 669 nt
Filed under: Paramuricea clavata
Lineage: Eukaryota; Metazoa; Cnidaria; Anthozoa; Malacalcyonacea; Plexauridae
Rfam family: tRNA (bases 48-120)
Source: RNAcentral
GAAGGGACUAGAUACUGUUCCGAAAUAUCACUUACUCGAACCGUCCUGACCACGUAGCUCAGUUGGAAGAGCAUUGGGCUAGUAUUCCAAAGGUCGUAGGUUCGAAUCCCACCGUGGCCGGGCAUAAGUUUCAAGCUCGCCUGGUGUGGAUAUGCACUCAGAGUAACAUCGCAAACAUAUUAUUCACCUGAGUACACAACACCAACACAGAAAAAAAAUUCAUAUUACAAGAACACAUUGGUAUUGAAGGAACUAGAUACGGUUCCGAAAUAUCACUUACUCGAACCGUCCUGACCACGUAGCUCAGUUGGAAGAGCAUUGGGCUAGUAUUCCAAACGUCGUAGGUUCGAAUCCCACCGUGGCCGGGCAUAAGUUUCAAGCUCUCCCGGUGUGGAUAUGCACUCAGAGUAACAUCGCAAACAUAUUAUUCACCUGAGUACACAACACCAACACAGAAAAAAAAAAUUCAUAUUACAAGAACACAUUGGUAUUGAAGGAACUAGAUACGGUUCCGAAAUAUCACUUACUCGAACCGUCCUGACCGCGUAGCUCAGUUGGAAGAGCAUUGGGCUAGUAUUCCAAAGGUCGUAGGUUCGAAUCCCACCGUGGCCGGGCAUAUUUUUCAAGCUCGCCCGGUGUGGAUAUGCACUCAGAGUAACAUCGCAAACA